This 253-nucleotide ribosomal RNA is filed under the name uncultured bacterium. Its description in RNAcentral is "partial 16S ribosomal RNA". It matches the Rfam family "Bacterial small subunit ribosomal RNA", at positions 524 to 776 of the family's 1533-position model. The record is from RNAcentral.
UACGGGGGGAGCAAGCGUUGUUCGGAUUCAUUGGGCGUAAAGGGCGCGUAGGCGGUCAGGUUAGUCCGUCAUGAAAUGUACCGGUUCAACCGGGGCACCGUGUCGGAAACUGCCUGGCUUGAGGCCGAGGGAGGAAGGUGGAAUUCCUGGUGUAGCGGUGAAAUGCGUAGAUAUCAGGAGGAACACCCGUGGCGAAGGCGACCUUCUAUCUCGGAUCUGACGCUGAGGCGCGAAAGCUAGGGGAGCAAACGGG